Molecule: ribosomal RNA, 551 nt
Filed under: uncultured bacterium
Lineage: Bacteria
Description: partial 16S ribosomal RNA
Rfam family: Bacterial small subunit ribosomal RNA
Source: RNAcentral
UGGGGAAUUUUGGCAAUGGGCGAAAGCCUGAUCCAGCAAUGCCGCGUGUGUGAAGAAGGCCUUCGGGUUGUAAAGCACUUUUGUCCGGAAAGAAAUCCUCUGGGUUAAUACCUCGGGGGAUGACGGUACCGGAAGAAUAAGCACCGGCUAACUACGUGCCAGCAGCCGCGGUAAUACGUAGGGUGCAAGCGUUAAUCGGAAUUACUGGGCGUAAAGCGUGCGCAGGCGGUUUUGUAAGACGGAUGUGAAAUCCCCGGGCUUAACCUGGGAACUGCAUUCGUGACUGCAAGGCUAGAGUAUGGCAGAGGGGGGUAGAAUUCCACGUGUAGCAGUGAAAUGCGUAGAGAUGUGGAGGAAUACCGAUGGCGAAGGCAGCCCCCUGGGCCAAUACUGACGCUCAUGCACGAAAGCGUGGGGAGCAAACAGGAUUAGAUACCCUGGUAGUCCACGCCCUAAACGAUGUCAACUAGUUGUUGGGGAUUCAUUUCCUUAGUAACGUAGCUAACGCGUGAAGUUGACCGCCUGGGGAGUACGGUCGCAAGAUUAAAACU